Molecule: non-coding RNA, 429 nt
Organism: Sorex araneus (European shrew)
Lineage: Eukaryota; Metazoa; Chordata; Mammalia; Eulipotyphla; Soricidae
Source: the annotation of a RefSeq genome assembly
AUGGACCUCGUGGGCGGGAACGUGCGUCAGCGCUGGUUCCUCCUCUUUCUGGUGGCAGCUCCAGGAUGUGUCCUGUCUCAGGUACAGCUGCAGGAGUCAGGAACAGGCCUGGUGACGCCCUUGCAAACGCUGUCCCUCACCUGCUCGGUCUCUGGAUUCUCUCUAACCGACUAUGGUGUGAUCUGGGUCCGCAAGACCCCUGGAAAGGGACUGUAUUGGGUUGGUACUAUAGGGUAUGAUGGAAGCAAAUACUAUAACCCAAGUCUUCAGUCCCGACUCAGCAUCUCCAGGGAUACCUCCAAGAGCCAAGUUUACCUAAAGCUGAGCAACUCAGUAACUGAGGACACAGCCGUGUAUUAUUGUAGUUACUGUGCUGCUUCACAGCAACUCAUUGCCCAGGAUGAUUCACGACUGCUGUGUCAUUUGUAG